RNAcentral lists this RNase P RNA (351 nucleotides) under bovine gut metagenome. Its description in RNAcentral is "Bacterial RNase P class A". It matches the Rfam family "Bacterial RNase P class A". From Rfam's summary of the family: Ribonuclease P (RNase P) is a ubiquitous endoribonuclease, found in archaea, bacteria and eukarya as well as chloroplasts and mitochondria. The record is from RNAcentral.
GGGGUCGCUCCGGCACGCCGCAAGGUGGCGCCGGGGAGGAAAGUCCGGACUCCGCAGGGCAGGGCGUCCGGCCGUCAAGGCCGGAACGGCGUCGCCAUACCGGCGCCGAUGGAAAGUGCCACAGAAACAAACCGCCUCGGCCGCAAGGCCGCGGCAAGGGUGAAAAGGCGGUGUAAGAGACCACCGGCCGUCCAGAGAUGGGCGGUGCCAGGCAAACCCCGCCCGGAGCAAGGUCGAAUAGGGGGGCUAAGGCGCUGCCCGCGCCGCCGCAGCGAUGCGUAUGCCCCCGGGUUGACCGCGCUAGACAAAUGACCUCGGCCGCUUCGGCGGCCAACAGAAUCCGGCUUACGG